UACGGAGGGCGCAAGCGUUGUUCGGAAUCACUGGGCGUAAAGCGCGUGUAGGCGGCCGGGCAAGUCGGAUGUGAAAUCCCGAGGCUCAACCUCGGAACUGCAUUCGAAACUGCUCGGCUCGAGUCCCGGAGAGGAUGGCGGAAUUCCCGGUGUAGGGGUGAAAUCCGUAGAUAUCGGGAGGAACUCCAGUGGCGAAGGCGGCCAUCUGGCCGGUGACUGACGCUGAGACGCGAAAGCGUGGGGGGCAAACAGG
RNAcentral lists this ribosomal RNA (253 nucleotides) under uncultured bacterium. RNAcentral's name for it is "partial 16S ribosomal RNA". It matches the Rfam family "Bacterial small subunit ribosomal RNA", at positions 524 to 776 of the family's 1533-position model. The record is from RNAcentral.